GAAGAUGGCGACCGGCGCACGGGUGAGUAACACGUAUCCAACCUGCCGAUAACUCUGGAAUAGCCUUUCGAAAGAAAGAUUAAUACCGGAUGGCAUACGAAUAUCGCAUGAUAUUUUUAUUUAAAGAAUUUCGGUUAUCGAUGGGGAUGCGUUCCAUUAGUUUGUUGGCGGGGUAACGGCCCACCAAGACAACGAUGGAUAGGGGUUCUGAGAGGAAGGUCCCCCACAUUGGAACUGAGACACGGUCCAA
Molecule: ribosomal RNA, 250 nt
Filed under: uncultured bacterium
Lineage: Bacteria
Description: partial 16S ribosomal RNA
Rfam family: Bacterial small subunit ribosomal RNA
Source: RNAcentral